UAAAUCCCAAAACACAUCGUUUUGCUUUUAUUGAACUUAACUCUCAUUUUUUCCUUCUAAACAAUUAAACCCUAACAAUCUCUCAUAUGUUGUUCUUCUUCUUCCUCUUAUUGUGUUGGGAAAAUUUACGAUUGGCGCUUCCUUUUUAGUUUUCAGAAGAUUGGCGCCUCUUUUUUUUUUAAGAAGAUUGGCGCCUCUUAUCAGGUUGGGAAAACAAACCUAAAAUUUUAUUAUCAAAUCUGGUUUGACCCUUUCGAUUUCUUUUUUUCCCCUCUGUUUGUAUGAUUAUAAACAUUCUUAUGAAAUCUCUUCUUCAUAUUCAUUCAGAAACAUUAUAAAGUGAAUCGCAAUAUUGCUUUAUCCAGAAGGCAAGAGAGGCUAGAGCAAGCAACAAGGGCUGAUUUGAAAUCAAAGGAAAAAGAGGAGUUUCUAAAAUGUUUGCUAAUCGAAGUGCAGAGGGAAUUGAACUCCAAUUAGCUAAGUUCAGGUUGAAGAGGCUUCGUGGAAGGCAUUUUACCAUUGGUUCUUCUUUUCCUAAUUUACCAUUUUUGCUCAUGUUGCUUGAAACUUGAUACGACUUAUGGUUGCUCAAGCUUAAAAAUGUUUACUGCUUUGUUUGAUUCACAUUUGAUGCCAUUAUGUUCAGCUUUUGAGAAAAAUACUAUGUUAGUUUAGUUUUGGCUGAUCUAAUGCUCUUAUAGGUUGUUUGUUGAUUUGUCCAAUUAAUGACUAUUUAUUAUUGAAAUUAAAACUGUUAAUGAAUUGGUUUUUGUAACUAUUUAUUGGUAUUUCAGUUAGUCUUGUGAUUAUUGAGGGAAAAUUUGUUAAUUGGAUAUUUUCAGUUGGAUGUUUGUGCAUUUAUUAUGUCAAAUUGAUUGUUUAUAAAUGUGAAACUCUUUAAAUCAGUGGGGAUAUGUUUAGAUAUCAUAAGUACUUAAUUAACUUGAAUUCCUUCUAAGAGAAGUUACUAUUUCUUCUGUGUUAGACCUGUUUUAUGUAUACAUAUUAUUGCGCUUUUACAUUAAAAAUGUAUAAUUUUUGGAAUGAAUUUAGAGAUCAUUAGUAUGGACCGAGAAUGGAUGUAUGUUCUGUUACAAGAUGGAUAUUUGCAUCCACUAUUUGCACAAGGCGUGGAAGAAUUUGUGGAAUUUUGAAAAAGACAUCCUGAAUUCUUGGAUGGUGCGAAGAUAAGGUGCCCUUGUAAUCACACAAAGUGUCGAAACAAGAGUUAUCUUGAUGAGGUGACAGUGAUGUGUCAUCUUGGAAAACAUGGAUUCAUGAAGAACUACUAUUGCUGGUACAAUCAUGGAGAAACUUAUGUACCCAAUUCAGCCCGACCUAAUAACAUAUAUUUAGAAGAUGCAUGCCACCAAGCUGAAACCAAUAACGCUAGUUAUUUGUUUCGAUCUAUGAUGGAUGAUGUUAUUGGUCCUUCUAGUGGUCUUUAUUCAACUGAAGAUUUCAUAGAUCCUCCUCAUGUUUCACAUUCAAUGGAAGAGAUCCCAAACUUGGAUGCACAACGUUUAUAUGACAUGCUUAGGCAUCUGAACAAGAGUUAUGGGAAGGAAAUCCAGGAGGACAUUCUCAGUUACUGUUGUUGCUAAACUUAUGAACUGGAAAGAAGAAUUUCAUUUUUCAGAAAGGUUAUAUGAUGAACUCUGCAAGUUUUUGUCAAAGGUACUACCUACUGAUAAUGUAAUGACCGAUAGCUUUUAUAGCACGAAGUUAGUGCAGAAAUUGGGCUUACUGGUAGAAGUUAUUGAUUGUCGCAAGCAAGGAUGUAUGCUAUUUUAGAACGAAGAUAUUGGCCUUAAUAGCUAUAAGGUUUGUGGUCAUCCUCGAUUUAAAAAGCAAGGACGUGGUUCCAAUAAGCGGAAAACAAAUAAACCUUAUAAGAAGAUGCAUUAUUUUCUACUAAAACCACGUUUGCAGAGAUUGUAUGCUUCACAUACAACUUCAAACCACAUGAGGUGGCAUGGUGAACAUGAAUAGGAAGAAGAUGGCAUAAUGCGUCAUUGUUCAGAUUCUCCUCCUUGGAAGCCUUUUAAUGAGGCAAAUCCCUCAUUUGCUUCUGAAGUUCGAAAUGUUCGACUAGAGUUGUGUACCGAUGGGUUUCAACCCUUUGGACAAACAGGGCGACAAUAUUCAUCUUGGCCAAUAAUAGUGACACCGUACAAUUUACCACCCGGUAUGUGCAUGAAAGAUGAAUACAUGUUCUUGACAGCCAUCAUCCCCGGUCCAAAAAAUCCUAAAGACAAGUUAGAUUUUUUUUUUACAACCUCUAAUUGCUGAGUUGAAACAUUUAUGGGAGGUUGGUGUGAGCACGUAUGAUAUUUCGGCUAGGUAGAAUUUUGAAAUGAGAUCUGCCCUUACGUGGACGAUUAGUGAUUUUCCAUGUUACUCAAUGUUAUCAGGGUGGAGUACAAGAGGAAAGUUAGCUUGUCCUCAUUGCAUGGGUGAUUCUGAUGCAUUCCAAUUGACAAAAGGCCGCAAGACGUCGUGGUUUGACAAUCAUCAAAAGUUUCUACCACCAGAUCAUUCAUUUAGAAGAAACAAAAAGUGGUUUAGAAAAGGUGAGGUAGUACAAAAAAUUAUUCUUGAUAUGCAAUCUGGUUCAGCAAUACUUGAUGAAAUAGAACAUCUUGGGCUGAAAAAAGUAACAAACAAUAAAUGCAGAAGAAGAAAAUGUGCAUAUAUCUAAAUUAUAUGGUUGUGCAUUGAAAAAAAGAAGCAUUUUUUGGGAUUUGCCUUAUUGGAGAUCUAAUUUAAUAAGGCAUAAUUUGGAUGUGAUGCAUAUUGAGAAAAACUUAUUUGAUAAUAUUCUUAAUACGGUGAUGAAUGUUUCGGGAAAAACGAAAGAUAAUGCAAAAUCUAGAGACGAUUUGAAGGAGUUUUGCAAUCGCCCUGAGCUGCACCAAGAUGAAUAUCCAGGAAAAUACCCAAAGACUUCUUUCACACUUGACAAAAAGGGAUGGAAGAAUUGUGUAAUUGGGUUAGAGAACUCAAAUUUCCAGAUGGGUAUGUUUCCAACAUGGGUCGAUGUGUUGACAUGAAGAAAUUAAAAUUUUACGGGAUGAAGAGGCAUGAUUCUCAUGUGUUUAUUCAAAGACUAAUUCCAAUUGCAUUUUGUGAAUUGUUGCCUGCUAAUGUGUGGCAAGUAUUGACAGAACUAAACCUUUUUUUCAAAAGUCUAACAUCCACUGUCAUUAGAAGAGAAGAAAAUAUACAUUUGGAGCAAGAGAUUCCAAUAAUAUUAUGUAAGCUUGAGCGUAUCAUUCCUCUAAACUUCUUUGACCCAAUGAAGCAUCUUCCGAUUCAUUUGCCGCAAGAAGCGCGAAUAGCUGGUCCAAUUCAAUAUCGAUGGAUGUACCCUUUUGAGAGGUAUCUUCGCAGGCUGAAAAAUAAUGUGACUAAUAAAUCUCAAGUUGAAGGUUCAAUUUCUAAUGCAUAUUUGGUUGAAGAAACUGCUUCGUUUUGUGCACAUUACUUCAAGCCUACUAUUCCUACAAGGCAUAGGAGAGAGCCACAUAAUGAUGAUGGUGGAGCUGAUUUAAAUGCCCCUCCUAGAAUGUUGUCAAUUUUUAAACACCCGGGUCGAUCUAUGGGUCAAGCUAAAUCCAGAUAUUUAGAGGAUAAAGAAUAUCAUGCAGCUCAUACUUAUAUACUAUUAAAUUACGUUGAAGUGAAGCCAUAUAUAAAGUAACUAUGUAGUAAUUAUCUAAAUAUUUGUAUGAGAAGAUUAAUCCUAAGGAUUUAUUUUUCCAUACAGUAUAUAUGAAGAUGAAUUGGAUUCAAUAAUCCAAUUAUUACCAACACUGAGGUUGAGUUGAAACUGGAAAAUGAUUUUGCAGAAUGGUUUGAGAAAUAUGCACAUACUGAGAUACCAAACAUUACAAACCCAAUUAUGCAAGACCUUGCCAAAGGUCCGUUGCAUGAGGUGAAAUGGUACUCUGGAUACUAUGUUAAUGGAUAUAAAUUUCAUACCGAAGGACAUGGUUCAAACAGAUUAACCACGAAUAGUGGAGUAUGCAUUAGAGGUUCAAAUAGUAGCACUAGUGAAUUUGACUUUUAUGGUAAAUUGACAGAGAUCUUAGAAUUGGAUUAUCCGGCAUUACUGAUUAAAAAGGUCGUCGUAUUUAAAUGUUCUUGGUUUGAUCCGACUCCAAGGAUGGGUACAAGAGUGCAUCCGCAACUUAAACUUGUUGAUGUUAAUUGUCGUAGAGCUUUCAGUAAAUAUGAGCCAUUUAUUAUGGCUGUCCAAGCAGAACAAGUGCAUUAUUUAAGAUAUCAUACUUCAAAAUGAAAUGAUUGGUUAGAUGUUUAUAAAAUUAAACGAAGGUUUGUCGUGGAGGUACCAGAGAGAAGCAGCCUACCAGUGUCACCAACGAUAUUUGCAUACCAGGAGGAUUCUAUUGAAUAACAUGAAGUGGAUAGCCAAGUUGAUGUCAAUGAAACCUUGAUAUAAUUUCAAGAUUGAAUUUCUAUAACUAAGUUAACAAUUUAGGAUCAGUAGCUAUGUUUCUGAGUUUUGCAUUAAAUUAGUGAAGAACACCAGCAAGUGUGCACAAAGAAGUUGAACUAAUUGCUAAUCAUCUUUAGAAGCUCUUAGUUGACCGCAGUGUUAUUGGACUGUUUCAAACACAAAUAUGAAAAAACGUUUGCGUUACAUAAAAUCAAAUAAACUGUCACGAGCAGCAACAACAAGAGUUGAACGACAUUUACCAACAUCGGUAGCGCCACCACCCCAACUACCCCCAACAACGCUAACACGAUCAAAAUCACCACCACCACCACCACCAAGAGUAGAGGCAUCAGCAACGAGACCGGAAUCAUCAACCCAACGACCACCGCCACCAUAAAUAAUAGAGGCAUUAACAACAAGACCAGAAUCAUCAACACGACGACCACCACCCCCAUUAUCAAUACCACCACCGCCACCUAUACGAGAUACACAAGCUCCGUCAAUAAACAAUGAUGAUCAAUUUGAGACUCCACCUACACCACAAUCUUGUACUACACCUCUUCCUAAUCUUUCCAUAGGAUCCAACACAAACUAGCGGCAUUCAUCAGAUGUUUCUUACGUAUAUGUUAAGGGUGAAAGGUUUCUUCCCAAUGGUAAUUCUAUAGCUCGAAAUUUAUGUUUCGCAUUUAGAGAGAAGCAAGAUCCAGAGGGAUACACUUGGGCUUCUGUUAAUGCAAAUAUAAAAAAAUUUAUUGGCAGGAUUUCGAGAGAUUCUAAUCAUGGAGAGUUUGUUAAGGCCACAUGGAAUACGAUUGCGUCAAAUCACUACAACAAAACGCUUUCUAGAUGGAGAAAAUCAUGGGAAACGGUAAAGAAACUACCUCAAGGUGUUAAACAAGAUAUUUGGGAUAGCUGGCUUAAAAAAUGGUAGUCAGAUGAUUGGAAAAAAAAAAUCAAAACAAGAUUCAAAGAAUAGAAAUUCAGAACCAAAUGUUCCCGGUACCGGUGUUGCUAAGCAUAGAAGAGGAUCCAAAUCUACUAUAGAGCACACAACAUUAAUGGAGAAGGGAAAUAUUGGUGUGAAUACAUAGAGUAUUUUUAAAAAGUUACAUGAAAGGAAUGAUGGAUCAUUUGUUGAUAGCAAAUCACAUGCUAUUAGUGAUAAGAUGGAAGCAGCGUUAUCUCUUGCUACUCAACCAUUAGAUGAUGGAACUAUUCCAGAAUUUCACAUUAACCAGAUAUACUAUGAUGUUGUCGGUGGUAAGAAGAAGAGGCGUGUAUAUGGAUUAGGCUCUCUAGCAUGAGUCUUUUAUCCUCAACAUUCAUCAUCAAUGUCUGCUUCUCAAUCAGAUUCUUCAACUAAUGAUGAGGUUGAAAAGAUGAUAGAGUUCUUGUUUGAGAAGGAACAAGCAAUGGCAGCAAAGAUGCAUUCUCUGAACAACCAACAAGAGUCCUUGAACCAACAAAAAGCAUCCCUACUAAAAAUGCAAGAAAAUUGUCUCCGACUAAUGGAGAACUUAUAGGGUGGUACACAACCUAAUUAAGGAAUAUCAGCCGAGUUUUGAAGGUUGUAGCACAUAAUCAAUGGCUCUUCCUUAGUAGUUGUUUUUGUUAUCUAUGCAACAUUGAGACACAGGUUGUUUUUUUCUUUAUAUUAUAACAUUAAAACUAUGUAUGAAAUAUCUAAAUUAAUUGGCAGCUAAUUUUUAUUAAAUUUAA
Molecule: long non-coding RNA, 6181 nt
Organism: Mercurialis annua (annual mercury)
Lineage: Eukaryota; Viridiplantae; Streptophyta; Magnoliopsida; Malpighiales; Euphorbiaceae
Exons: 12
Source: RefSeq, a predicted model, not a curated record